AUGGAGCACGCCGCGUGUGUGAUGAAGGCUUUCGGGUCGUAAAGCACUGUUGUAUGGGAAGAACAGCUAGAAUAGGAAAUGAUUUUAGUUUGACGGUACCAUACCAGAAAGGGACGGCUAAAUACGUGCCAGCAGCCGCGGUAAUACGUAUGUCCCGAGCGUUAUCCGGAUUUAUUGGGCGUAAAGCGAGCGCAGACGGUUUAUUAAGUCUGAUGUGAAAGCCCGGAGCUCAACUCCGGAAUGGCAUUGGAAACUGGUUAACUUGAGUGCAGUAGAGGUAAGUGGAACUCCAUGUGUAGCGGUGGAAUGCGUAGAUAUAUGGAAGAACACCAGUGGCGAAGGCGGCUUACUGGACUGCAACUGACGUUGAGGCUCGAAAGUGUGGGUAGCAAACAGGAUUAGAUACCCUGGUAGUCCACACCGUAAACGAUGAACACUAGGUGUUAGGAGGUUUCCGCCUCUUAUUG
Molecule: ribosomal RNA, 467 nt
Filed under: Leuconostoc mesenteroides
Lineage: Bacteria; Bacillati; Bacillota; Bacilli; Lactobacillales; Lactobacillaceae
Description: bacterial SSU rRNA
Rfam family: Bacterial small subunit ribosomal RNA
Source: RNAcentral